This 372-nucleotide ribosomal RNA is filed under the name uncultured bacterium. RNAcentral describes it as "bacterial SSU rRNA". It matches the Rfam family "Bacterial small subunit ribosomal RNA", at positions 524 to 898 of the family's 1533-position model. The record is from RNAcentral.
UACGGAGGGUGCAAGCGUUAUCCGGAAUUACUGGGUUUAAAGGGUGCGUAGGCGGUAGUAUAAGUCAGUGGUGAAAGUUUGCUGCUUAACAGUAGAAUUGCCAUUGAUACUGUAUUACUUGAAUUAGGAUGAGGAUGGCGGAAUGAGACAUGUAGCGGUGAAAUGCAUAGAUAUGUCUUAGAACACCGAUUGCGAAGGCAGCUAUCUAGGCCUUAAUUGACGCUGAGGCACGAAAGCGUGGGGAGCGAACAGGAUUAGAUACCCUGGUAGUCCACGCCCUAAACGAUGCUUACUCGUUGUUUGGACGGAAGUUUGAGCGACCAAGGGAAACCGAUAAGUAAGCCACCUGGGGAGUACGCUCGCAAGAGUGAA